This 184-nucleotide ribosomal RNA is filed under the name uncultured Streptomyces sp. RNAcentral's name for it is "partial 16S ribosomal RNA". It matches the Rfam family "Bacterial small subunit ribosomal RNA", at positions 796 to 979 of the family's 1533-position model. The record is from RNAcentral. Lineage: Bacteria; Bacillati; Actinomycetota; Actinomycetes; Kitasatosporales; Streptomycetaceae.
CCUACCGUAAACGGUGGGAACUAGGUGGGCGACAUUCCACGUCGUCGGUGCCGCAGCUAACGCAUUAAGUUCCCCGCCUGGGGAGUACGGCCGCAAGGCUAAAACUCAAAGGAAUUGACGGGGGCCCGCACAAGCAGCGGAGCAUGUGGCUUAAUUCGACGCAACGCGAAGAACCUUACCAAGG